GACGAACGCUGGCGGCGUGCCUAAUACAUGCAAGUAGAACGCUGAAGGAGGAGCUUGCUCUUCUGGAUGAGUUGCGAACGGGUGAGUAACGCGUAGGUAACCUGCCUGGUAGCGGGGGAUAACUAUUGGAAACGAUAGCUAAUACCGCAUAAGAGUAGAUGUUGCAUGACAUUUACUUAAAAGGUGCAAUUGCAUCACUACCAGAUGGACCUGCGUUGUAUUAGCUAGUUGGUGGGGUAACGGCUUACCAAGGCGACGAUACAUAGCCGACCUGAGAGGGUGAUCGGCAACACUGGGACUGAGACACGGCCCAGACUCCUACGGGAGGAAGCAGUAGGGAAUCUUCGGCAAUGGACGGAAGUCUGACCGAGCAACGCCGCGUGAGUGAAGAAGGUUUUCGGAUCGUAAAGCUCUGUUGUAAGAGAAGAACGAGUGUGAGAGUGGAAAGUUCACACUGUGACGGUAUCUUACCAGAAAGGGACGGCUAACUACGUG
This 495-nucleotide ribosomal RNA is filed under the name uncultured bacterium. Its description in RNAcentral is "partial 16S ribosomal RNA". It matches the Rfam family "Bacterial small subunit ribosomal RNA", at positions 28 to 507 of the family's 1533-position model. The record is from RNAcentral.